Long non-coding RNA from Rhipicephalus microplus (southern cattle tick), 390 nucleotides. Lineage: Eukaryota; Metazoa; Arthropoda; Arachnida; Ixodida; Ixodidae. The record is from RefSeq and is a predicted model, not a curated record.
UGUAAUACACCGUGCAGCUGCGAUUGAUCGCAUACUCUUCGUUGGCCCGGAUUUGUGGACGAUUGUAAAGAGUGCGUAGGUGUCACAACCAAUCAACUCAGGUACAACUCAGGUAUAUAGGGACAGCAGGGGCGAGGCAUCUUUCUCUUACGUUCCCUUAGCGAGAUGUCAACUAUGGCCUAUAUGUGCCUCCUCGCCGGUCUUGUUAGCGCUGCGACAGUGACUUUUGGAGCCGAAGUUCCAACUAGUGGCCACUGCAUUAACGUUACGAUCAGGGAUGUGAUGGGUAUUGGCGAGUGUCUCGGUACUUCGAACUUCUGCGACAGUAGCACCGGCCUCAAAGGUGCUGCAAUGAAGAUAACGCAAGUGAGUGGCUAUUAAUAUUUGACG